This 311-nucleotide ribosomal RNA is filed under the name uncultured bacterium. RNAcentral describes it as "bacterial SSU rRNA". It matches the Rfam family "Bacterial small subunit ribosomal RNA", at positions 28 to 334 of the family's 1533-position model. The record is from RNAcentral.
GACGAACGCUGGCGGCGCGCCUAACACAUGCAAGUCGAACGAGCGAGAGAGAGCUUGCUUUCUCGAGCGAGUGGCGAACGGGUGAGUAACGCGUGAGGAACCUGCCUCAAAGAGGGGGACAACAGUUGGAAACGACUGCUAAUACCGCAUAAGCCCACAGGUCGGCAUCGACCAGAGGGAAAAGGAGCAAUCCGCUUUGAGAUGGCCUCGCGUCCGAUUAGCUAGUUGGUGAGGUAACGGCCCACCAAGGCGACGAUCAGUAGCCGACCUGAGAGGGUGAUCGGCCACAUUGGAACUGAGACACGGUCCAA